AGCAGCCGCGGUAAUUCCAGCUCCAAUAGCGUAUAUUAAAGUUGUUGCAGUUAAAAAGCUCGUAGUUGAAUUUCGGGAUCAAUAUGUUGGUCGUGCCUCGGUACGUACUAGCAUAUUGGUUUCUCCUUUCUGAAGAACCAUGAUGUCAUUUAUUUGGUGUCGUGGGGAAUCAGGACUGUUACUUUGAAAAAAUUAGAGUGUUUAAAGCAGGCUCACGCUUGAAUACAUUAGCAUGGAAUAAUGAAAUAGGACGUUUGAUUCUAUUUUGUUGGUUUUUAGGAUCGACGUAAUGAUUAAUAGGGAUAGUUGGGGGCAUUAGUAUUCAAUCGUCAGAGGUGAAAUUCUUGGAUUUAUUGAAGACUAACUACUGCGAAAGCAUUUGCCAAGGAUGUUUUCAUUAAUCAAGAACGAAAGUUAGGGGAUCGAAGACGAUCAGAUACCGUCGUAGUCUUAACCAUAAACUAUGCCGACUAGGGAUCGGAUGAUGUUAAUUUUUUAAUGACUCA
This 506-nucleotide ribosomal RNA is filed under the name uncultured Glomeraceae. Its description in RNAcentral is "SSU rRNA". It matches the Rfam family "Eukaryotic small subunit ribosomal RNA", at positions 569 to 1078 of the family's 1831-position model. The record is from RNAcentral. Lineage: Eukaryota; Fungi; Glomeromycota; Glomeromycetes; Glomerales; Glomeraceae.